RNAcentral lists this ribosomal RNA (426 nucleotides) under uncultured Caldilineaceae bacterium. RNAcentral's name for it is "bacterial SSU rRNA". It matches the Rfam family "Bacterial small subunit ribosomal RNA", at positions 354 to 796 of the family's 1533-position model. The record is from RNAcentral. Lineage: Bacteria; Bacillati; Chloroflexota; Caldilineae; Caldilineales; Caldilineaceae.
GUGAGGAAUAUUGCACAAUGGACGAAAGUCUGAUGCAGCAACGCCGCGUGGAGGAUGACGGCCCUUGGGUUGUAAACUCCUUUUUUCAGGGAAGAGUGAGGACGGUACCUGAAGAAUAAGUCACGGCUAACUACGUGCCAGCAGCCGCGGUAAUACGUAGGUGGCAAGCGUUAUCCGGAAUUACUGGGCGUAAAGCGCACGCAGGCGGUCUCUUAAGUUUGACGUGAAAGCUCCCGGCUUAACUGGGAGAGGUCGUUGAAUACUGGGGGACUUGAGGCAAUGAGAGGGGUGUAGAAUUCCCGGUGUAGUGGUGGAAUGCGUAGAUAUCGGGGGGAAUACCAGUGGCGAAAGCGGCACCCUAGCGUUGUUCUGACGCUCAUGUGCGAAAGCGUGGGGAGCGAACGGGAUUAGAUACCCCAGUAGUCC